UACGGGGGGGGCAAGCGUUGUUCGGAAUUACUGGGCGUAAAGGGCUCGUAGGCGGCCAACUAAGUCAGACGUGAAAUCCCUCGGCUCAACUUGGGAACUGCGUCUGAUACUGGAUGGCUUGAAUUCGGGAGAGGGAUGCAGAAUUCCAGGUGUAGCGGUGAAAUGCGUAGAUAUCUGGAGGAAUACCGGUGGCGAAGGCGGCAUCCUGGACCGACAUUGACGCUGAUGAGCGAAAAGCUAGGGGAGCAAACGGGG
RNAcentral lists this ribosomal RNA (255 nucleotides) under uncultured bacterium. Its description in RNAcentral is "partial 16S ribosomal RNA". It matches the Rfam family "Bacterial small subunit ribosomal RNA", at positions 524 to 777 of the family's 1533-position model. The record is from RNAcentral.